RNAcentral lists this ribosomal RNA (532 nucleotides) under Bacillus cereus. RNAcentral describes it as "bacterial SSU rRNA". It matches the Rfam family "Bacterial small subunit ribosomal RNA", at positions 31 to 544 of the family's 1533-position model. The record is from RNAcentral. Lineage: Bacteria; Bacillati; Bacillota; Bacilli; Caryophanales; Bacillaceae.
GAACGCUGGCGGCGCUGCCUAAUACAUGCAAGUCGAGCGAAUGGAUUAAGAGCUUGCUCUUAUGAAGUUAGCGGCGGACGGGUGAGUAACACGUGGGUAACCUGCCUAUAAGACUGGGAUAACUCCGGGAACCGGGGCUAAUACCGGAUAACAUUUUGAACCGCAUGGUUCGAAUUGAAAGGCGGCUUCGGCUGUCACUUAUGGAUGGACCCGCGUCGCAUUAGCUAGUUGGUGAGGUAACGGCUCACCAAGGCAACGAUGCGUAGCCGACCUGAGAGGGUGAUCGGCCACACUGGGACUGAGACACGGCCCAGACUCCUACGGGAGGCAGCAGUAGGGAAUCUUCCGCAAUGGACGAAAGUCUGACGGAGCAACGCCGCGUGAGUGAUGAAGGCUUUCGGGUCGUAAAACUCUGUUGUUAGGGAAGAACAAGUGCUAGUUGAAUAAGCUGGCACCUUGACGGUACCUAACCAGAAAGCCACGGCUAACUACGUGCCAGCAGCCGCGGUAAUACGUAGGUGGCAAGCGUUAU